This 76-nucleotide transfer RNA is filed under the name Arsenophonus sp. RNAcentral describes it as "tRNA-Trp". It matches the Rfam family "tRNA". From Rfam's summary of the family: Transfer RNA (tRNA) molecules are approximately 80 nucleotides in length. Their secondary structure includes four short double-helical elements and three loops (D, anti-codon, and T loops). Lineage: Bacteria; Pseudomonadati; Pseudomonadota; Gammaproteobacteria; Enterobacterales; Morganellaceae. The record is from RNAcentral.
AGGGGCAUAGUUCAAUUGGUAGAGCACCGGUCUCCAAAACCGGUUGUUGGGAGUUCAAAUCUCUCUGCCCCUGCCA